GACGAACGCUAGCGGCGCGCUUAACACAUGCAAGUCGAGCGGAAAGGCCCUUCGGGGUACUCGAGCGGCGAACGGGUGAGUAACACGUGAGCAACCUACCCCUGGCUCUGGGAUAACCCCGGGAAACCGGGGCUAAUACCGGAUAUCCACGCACUGCCGCAUGGCGGUGCGUGAAAAGUUUUUCGGUUGGGGAUGGGCUCGCGGCCUAUCAGCUUGUUGGUGAGGUAACGGCCCACCAAGGCUUCGACGGGUAGCCGGCCUGAGAGGGCGACCGGCCACACUGGGACUGAGAUACGGCCCAGACUCCUACGGGAGGCAGCAGUGGGGAAUAUUGCACAAUGGGCGCAAGCCUGAUGCAGCGACGCCGCGUGAGGGAAGAAGGCCUUCGGGUCGUAAACCUCUUUCGGCAGGGACGAAGCGAAAGUGACGGUACCUGCAGAAGAAGCGCCGGCCAACUACGUGCCAGCAGCCGCGGUAAGACGUAGGGCGCAAGCGUUGUCCGGAUUUAUUGGGCGUAAAGAGCUCGUAGGCGGCUUGUCGCGUCGACUGUGAAAACCCCGCGGCUUAACUGCGGGACUGCAGUCGAUACGGGCAGGCUAGAGUUCGGUAGGGGAGACUGGAAUUCCUGGUGUAGCGGUGAAAUGCGCAGAUAUCAGGAGGAACACCGGUGGCGAAGGCGGGUCUCUGGGCCGAUACUGACGCUGAGGAGCGAAAGCGUGGGGAGCGAACAGGAUUAGAUACCCUGGUAGUCCACGCUGUAAACGUUGGGCGCUAGGUGUGGGGGGCCUCUCCGGUCCUCUGUGCCGCAGCUAACGCAUUAAGCGCCCCGCCUGGGGAGUACGGCCGCAAGGCUAAAACUCAAAGGAAUUGACGGGGGCCCGCACAAGCGGCGGAGCAUGCGGAUUAAUUCGAUGCAACGCGAAGAACCUUACCUGGGUUUGACAUGGCGGCUAAAGCCACAGAGAUGUGGUGUCCUUCGGGGGCCGUCACAGGUGGUGCAUGGCUGUCGUCAGCUCGUGUCGUGAGAUGUUGGGUUAAGUCCCGCAACGAGCGCAACCCUCGUUCCAUGUUGCCAGCGGGUAAUGCCGGGGACUCAUGGGAGACUGCCGGGGUCAACUCGGAGGAAGGUGGGGAUGACGUCAAGUCAUCAUGCCCCUUAUGUCCAGGGCUUCACGCAUGCUACAAUGGCCGGUACAAAGGGCUGCGAUACCGCAAGGUGGAGCGAAUCCCAAAAAGCCGGUCUCAGUUCGGAUCGGGGUCUGCAACUCGACCCCGUGAAGUCGGAGUCGCUAGUAAUCGCAGAUCAGCAAUGCUGCGGUGAAUACGUUCCCGGGCCUUGUACACACCGC
RNAcentral lists this ribosomal RNA (1349 nucleotides) under uncultured bacterium. Its description in RNAcentral is "bacterial SSU rRNA". It matches the Rfam family "Bacterial small subunit ribosomal RNA", at positions 28 to 1393 of the family's 1533-position model. The record is from RNAcentral.